GAAAUAAAAAUGACAAAUAAAACAUCAUGAGCGGUAUAUUUACGAAUGUGUUAUGGUAUUUAGAAUUCUUCGCGUUUGCCGUUACUUUGACUUUAUUUUUCUGUUUUAUUUUAUAUAUAGCUAAAUUAAAUUUUGUUACAUAUAAUAUGCAGUACGACAUGCAGCAGCAGUAUAUGGCUGAUGGUACAUGGCUGUUACAAAGUUAAAUAUAUGGAUAAGAAAAAUCCUCAACACAGAGUUAUAAUAUCCUGCUAAAUUUUAAACAAGUGUCCGGAAAAGCAAAACGAAUUAUUUUGAAUACCCGCCUUUAGAAUAUUUUAAGCUUUAUCUGUGAUUCGUGUGGAAGAACAAGACGAACAUUGCAUU
Molecule: unclassified non-coding RNA, 366 nt
Filed under: Melitaea cinxia (Glanville fritillary)
Lineage: Eukaryota; Metazoa; Arthropoda; Insecta; Lepidoptera; Nymphalidae
Description: misc RNA ENSMCXG00005004126.1
Source: RNAcentral